Molecule: ribosomal RNA, 434 nt
Filed under: uncultured bacterium
Lineage: Bacteria
Description: bacterial SSU rRNA
Rfam family: Bacterial small subunit ribosomal RNA
Source: RNAcentral
AACGCGAAGAACCUUACCUGGGUUUGGCAUGCACUAGACAGCCUCAGAGAUGGGGUUUCCCUUGUGGUUGGUGUACAGGUGGUGCAUGGCUGUCGUCAGCUCGUGUCGUGAGAUGUUGGGUUAAGUCCCGCAACGAGCGCAACCCUUGCCCCAUGUUGCCAGCGGGUUAUGCUGGGGACUCGUGGGGGACUGCCGGGGUCAACUCGGAGGAAGGUGGGGAUGACGUCAAGUCAUCAUGCCCCUUAUGCCCAGGGCUUCACACAUGCUACAAUGGCCGGUACAGAGGGUGGCGAUAUCGUGAGGUGGAGCGAAUCCCUUAAAGCCGGUCUCAGUUCGGAUCGGGGUCUGCAACUCGACCCCGUGAAGUCGGAGUCGCUAGUAAUCGCAGAUCAGCAUUGCUGCGGUGAAUACGUUCCCGGGCCUUGUACACACCG